Molecule: ribosomal RNA, 293 nt
Filed under: uncultured bacterium
Lineage: Bacteria
Description: partial 16S ribosomal RNA
Rfam family: Bacterial small subunit ribosomal RNA
Source: RNAcentral
GGAUUAGAUACCCUGGUAGUCCACGCCCUAAACGAUGUCAAUUAGCUGUUGGGCAACUUGAUUGCUUAGUAGCGUAGCUAACGCGUGAAAUUGACCGCCUGGGGAGUACGGUCGCAAGAUUAAAACUCAAAGGAAUUGACGGGGACCCGCACAAGCGGUGGAUGAUGUGGAUUAAUUCGAUGCAACGCGAAGAACCUUACCUGGUCUUGACAUGUACGGAAUCCUCCAGAGACGGAGGAGUGCUUUCGGGAACCGUAACACAGGUGCUGCAUGGCUGUCGUCAGCUCGUGCCG